UUUUGGAAAACGAUUGAGUUUUGAGAAAGAUCAAAGCGUUAUACCCGGUUAUAUUUCGCUCGGCCGCAGACCUUGUACCGGUACAGGGGUUCUUGUUCCGGUACAAGGACCAAAAUGUGAAAAUUUUUUUUUCGAAAAAUAUACUUUAAAAACCCAUCAAAUUUAAAUUAAAUUCAUAUAAUUAAGGCUUUUACUCCAAAAAUCAUUAUAAUGAAAAUAAGAUAUUAUAAAAUUUCAAAACACAUCAAAACAUCAAAAUUUCAAAAUCAAAAAUAAUUUAAUGAUUCAAAAACAUCAAGAUGUAAGUUGAUGAAAAAUGAUUUUUAGAAAUUCAACAAAAUUGACACCAAUUGGUCGCAACAUGUUCAAAAUAGAGAUUUAACUAAUAUGAUACCAGGGGUGGCUCUUUGAGCAUCUUUUUCAAACUAGCACCUUAUUACUCCGAAAAUUUUAAAAUAUUUAUAUUUUUCCAACCUUUUUCGGCUUUUUCAAUUAAAUUCCAUGUGGUAGCUUCACACACUUGCCGGACGACCGGGGUGGUAGCUCUUUCCUACAUGUGGUGGUAGUUUUCACACUCCUUUUGGAUGUAACUCUUUCCACAUCUUUUAAACAUAGGAGUUUCUUUUUCUCCUUUUUAUUUUUUUUAAACAAUUUCAAACUCCCCCUAAAUUAGACAAUCUCACAAUUGAAAAUAAUUUUGACGAAUUUUAGUCAAUUAGAGAAUAUCCAUUCAUCAUAUCCAACACUCACAACCAAGAUGAAUUAAUCACCAAAAAAUCAAAUUUGAUUUCAAAAUUUUGAUGAAUUUAUGAUAUAAGAAAUCAUAUAAUAAAUUAUCGUCAAAAUAAUAAAUAGUGGAGUAAAGACGAUAAUUAAUAUGAAUUUAACUUAAUAUGAUUGUGAAGAUAAGACCCGUUUAAACAAUCUUAAAAAAACUUUCUCUCCAAAAAACGAUUCUCAAUCUUCUCCUUUCUCAAAGAUUUUGAAAUUCCUAAACACCUCUUCCUCAAAAUAAUUUUUAAAUAAACAAAAAUUCAAUGCACCAAAAAUCAUUCAAUCAUGUAAUGCAAUGAAUAAAAAUAAACAACAAGCACCAAUCAAAGCAUUACACUAAAAAUAAAAAAUGACUAAGACGAGGAGCAAGGAAAGAUAU
RNAcentral lists this long non-coding RNA (1153 nucleotides) under Ananas comosus (pineapple). RNAcentral describes it as "long non-coding RNA (ACOM_LNC041877)". Lineage: Eukaryota; Viridiplantae; Streptophyta; Magnoliopsida; Poales; Bromeliaceae. The record is from RNAcentral.